AAUGGACGAGAGUCUGAACCAGCCAAGUAGCGUGAAGGAUGACGGCCCUCUGGGUUGUAAACUUCUUUUGGAGGGGGGUAAAGUGCGGCACGUGUGCCGCAUUGCAAGUACCCUUCGAAUAAGCAUCGGCUAACUCCGUGCCAGCAGCCGCGGUAAUACGGAGGAUGCGAGCGUUAUCCGGAUUUAUUGGGUUUAAAGGGAGCGUAGGUGGAUGUUCAAGUCAGCUGUGAAAUGCCGUCGCUUAACGUCGGACUUGCAGUUGAAACUGGAUAUCUUGAGUGUACAAGAGGGAAGUGGAAUUCGUGGUGUAGCGGUGAAAUGCAUAGAUAUCACGAAGAACUCCGAUUGCGAAGGCAGCUUUCUUGGGUACAACUGACACUGAGGCUCGAAAGUGCGGGUAUCAAA
RNAcentral lists this ribosomal RNA (405 nucleotides) under uncultured bacterium. RNAcentral's name for it is "bacterial SSU rRNA". It matches the Rfam family "Bacterial small subunit ribosomal RNA", at positions 370 to 772 of the family's 1533-position model. The record is from RNAcentral.